UCAAACUUGGUCAUUUAGAGGAAGUAAAAGUCGUAACAAGGUCUCCGUUGGUGAACCAGCGGAGGGAUCAUUACCGAGUUAACAAACUCCCAAACCCCUGUGAACAUACCUAUCGUUGCUUCGGCGGGAUCGCCCCGGCGCCACCGGGCCCGGACCCAGGCGCCCGCCGGAGGACCCAAACUCUUGUCUCUGCGGAUGUAUCUUCUGAGUAACACAAGCAAAUAAAUCAAAACUUUCAACAACGGAUCUCUUGGUUCUGGCAUCGAUGAAGAACGCAGC
Molecule: unclassified non-coding RNA, 279 nt
Filed under: uncultured fungus
Lineage: Eukaryota; Fungi
Description: partial contains small subunit ribosomal RNA, internal transcribed spacer 1, and 5.8S ribosomal RNA
Rfam family: Eukaryotic small subunit ribosomal RNA (bases 1-73)
Source: RNAcentral